AGUGAACGCUGGCGGUAGGCCUAACACAUGCAAGUCGAACGGCAGCACAGUAAGAGCUUGCUCUUACGGGUGGCGAGUGGCGGACGGGUGAGGAAUACAUCGGAAUCUACUUUUUCGUGGGGGAUAACGUAGGGAAACUUACGCUAAUACCGCAUACGACCUACGGGUGAAAGCAGGGGAUCUUCGGACUUUGCGCGAUUGAAUGAGCCGAUGUCGGAUUAGCUAGUUGGCGGGGUAAAGGCCCACCAAGGCGACGAUCCGUAGCUGGUCUGAGAGGAUGAUCAGCCACACUGGAACUGAGACACGGUCCAGACUCCUACGGGAGGCAGCAGUGGGGAAUAUUGGACAAUGGGCGCAAGCCUGAUCCAGCCAUACCGCGUGGGUGAAGAAGGCCUUCGGGUUGUAAAGCCCUUCUGUUGGGAAAGAAAAGCAGCAGGUUAAUACCCCGCUGUUCUGACGGUACCCAAAGAAUAAGCACCGGCUAACUUCGUG
RNAcentral lists this ribosomal RNA (492 nucleotides) under uncultured bacterium. RNAcentral's name for it is "partial 16S ribosomal RNA". It matches the Rfam family "Bacterial small subunit ribosomal RNA", at positions 29 to 507 of the family's 1533-position model. The record is from RNAcentral.